AACGAACGCUGGCGGCAUGCCUAACACAUGCAAGUCGAACGAGCCCUUCGGGUCUAGUGGCGCACGGGUGCGUAACGCGUGGGAACCUGCCCUUAGGUUCGGAAUAACUCCCCGAAAGGGGUGCUAAUACCGGAUAAUGUCUUCGGACCAAAGAUUUAUCGCCUUUGGAUGGGCCCGCGUUGGAUUAGCUAGUUGGUAGGGUAAAAGCCUACUAAGGCGACGAUCCAUAGCUGGUCUGAGAGGAUGAUCAGCCACACUGGGACUGAGACACGGCCCAGACUCCUACGGGAGGCAGCAGUGGGGAAUAUUGGACAAUGGGCGAAAGCCUGAUCCAGCAAUGCCGCGUGAGUGAUGAAGGCCUUAGGGUUGUAAAGCUCUUUUACCCGGGAUGAUAAUGACAGUACCGGGAGAAUAAGCUCCGGCUAACUCCGUG
RNAcentral lists this ribosomal RNA (433 nucleotides) under uncultured bacterium. Its description in RNAcentral is "partial 16S ribosomal RNA". It matches the Rfam family "Bacterial small subunit ribosomal RNA", at positions 29 to 507 of the family's 1533-position model. The record is from RNAcentral.